GACGUAGGGCGCGAGCGUUGUCCGGAUUUAUUGGGCGUAAAGAGCUCGUAGGCGGCUUGUUGCGUCGUUCGUGAAAUCCCGUGGCUCAACUGCGGGCUUGCGGACGAUACGGGCAGGCUAGAAUUCGGUAGGGGAGACUGGAAUUCCUGGUGUAGCGGUGAAAUGCGCAGAUAUCAGGAGGAACACCGGUGGCGAAGGCGGGUCUCUGGGCCGAUAUUGACGCUGAGGAGCGAAAGCGUGGGGAGCGAACAGG
This 253-nucleotide ribosomal RNA is filed under the name uncultured bacterium. Its description in RNAcentral is "partial 16S ribosomal RNA". It matches the Rfam family "Bacterial small subunit ribosomal RNA", at positions 524 to 776 of the family's 1533-position model. The record is from RNAcentral. RNAcentral also lists the same sequence under 1 other name.